GGCUCAUUAUAUAAGUUAUCGUUUAUUUGAUAGUACCUUACUACUUGGAUAACCGUGGUAAUUCUAGAGCUAAUACAUGCUUAAAAUCCCGACUUCGGAAGGGAUGUAUUUAUUAGAUUAAAAACCAAUGCCCUUCGGGGCUCUCUGGUGAUUCAUGAUAACUUCUCGAAUCGCAUGGCCUUGCGCCGGCGAUGGUUCAUUCAAAUUUCUUCCCUAUCAACUUUCGAUGUUUGGGUAUUGGCCAAACAUGGUUGCAACGGGUAACGGAGGGUUAGGGCUCGACCCCGGAGAAGGAGCCUGAGAAACGGCUACUACAUCCAAGGAAGGCAGCAGGCGCGCAAAUUACCCAAUCCCGACUCGGGGAGGUAGUGACAAUAAAUACUGAUACAGGGUUCUUUUGGAUCUUGUAAUUGGAAUGAGUACAAUUUAAAUCCCUUAACGAGGAACAAUUGGAGGGCAAGUCUGGUGCCAGCAGCCGCGGUAAUUCCAGCUCCAAUAGCGUAUAUUAAAGUUGUUGUGGUUAAAAAGCUCGUAGUUGAACCUUGGGCCUGGCUGGCCGGUCCGCCUCACCGCGUGUACUGGUCCGGCCGGGCCUUUCCCUCUGUGGAACC
Molecule: ribosomal RNA, 611 nt
Filed under: Clonostachys rosea
Lineage: Eukaryota; Fungi; Ascomycota; Sordariomycetes; Hypocreales; Bionectriaceae
Description: SSU rRNA
Rfam family: Eukaryotic small subunit ribosomal RNA
Source: RNAcentral